Long non-coding RNA from Lolium rigidum, 488 nucleotides. RefSeq lists it as uncharacterized. NCBI's taxonomy places the organism in Eukaryota, Viridiplantae, Streptophyta, Magnoliopsida, Poales, Poaceae. The record is from RefSeq and is a predicted model, not a curated record. The transcript has 4 exons.
UCCCGACUAUCUCCGUGAAGAACAAUUGCACGGAAGAUGAAUGGAGGCAUAUGAGAACUUCGUCUAUAUUUAUCCUGUUUCUAUGCCAUGCUCUUCCUCAAAAGGAUUUGUUCAAAUCGUCCUACACCACAGCUCAUACUAGCGCAUCUGUUUUUCAGGUGCUGCACAACUAGCUUGGAUGCCAAAGCCCUCCUGUUUGCUGGUCCUUCGUUGCUGCAUACGCAUGAGUCUAAAAUUGAGGACUACUAUUGAGAUCCUCACACCCUGCUAGCCGCCUAGGCUUUCUGUACCGGAAAACUGCCCCCAGCUUGCGAUGUACAUUGUCGCCAAACCUCAACCAUCGGAUUUUGAACUAAAGGAACGACGGAGGUUGUCUUGGGGACCGCCACAACAAGACGAAAGGCGACGUAGAGGGAACAGGUUACGGAGACAGGUGCGUAGAGUCAGGUCAUCAAUGUAGCGAAAUUGCGAGUUCGCUGCCACGAUAU